UUCCUACGGGAGGCAGCAGUGGGGAAUCUUAGACAAUGGGCGCAAGCCUGAUCUAGCCAUGCCGCGUGAGUGACGAAGGCCUUAGGGUCGUAAAGCUCUUUCGCCAGAGAUGAUAAUGACAGUAUCUGGUAAAGAAACCCCGGCUAACUCCGUGCCAGCAGCCGCGGUAAUACGGAGGGGGUUAGCGUUGUUCGGAAUUACUGGGCGUAAAGCGUACGUUGGCGGAUUGGAAAGUAGGGGGUGAAAUCCCAGGGCUCAACCCUGGAACUGCCUCCUAAACUAUCAGUCUAGAGUUCGAGAGAGGUGAGUGGAAUUCCAAGUGUAGAGGUGAAAUUCGUAGAUAUUUGGAGGAACACCAGUGGCGAAGGCGGCUCACUGGCUCGAUACUGACGCUGAGGUACGAAAGUGUGGGGAGCAAACAGGAUUAGAUACCCUGGUAGUCCACACCGUAAACGAUGAAUGCCAGACGUCGGGGGGCUUGCCCUUCGGUGUCACACCUAACGGAUUAAGCAUUCCGCCUGGGGAGUACGGUCGCAAGAUUAAAACUCAAAUGAAUUGACGGAA
This 564-nucleotide ribosomal RNA is filed under the name uncultured Loktanella sp. RNAcentral describes it as "bacterial SSU rRNA". It matches the Rfam family "Bacterial small subunit ribosomal RNA", at positions 336 to 918 of the family's 1533-position model. Lineage: Bacteria; Pseudomonadati; Pseudomonadota; Alphaproteobacteria; Rhodobacterales; Roseobacteraceae. The record is from RNAcentral.